GAUGAAGAACGCAGCGAAAUGCGAUAAGUAAUGUGAAUUGCAGAAUUCCGUGAAUCAUCGAAUCUUUGAACGCACAUUGCGCCCCCUGGCAUUCCGGGGGGCAUGCCUGUCCGAGCGUCAUUUCUGCCCCCCAGCCCGGCUGGGUGUUGGGCGCUGUCCCCCCGGGGACACGCCCCAAAGGCAGUGGCGGCGCCGCGUCGGGUCCUCGAGCGUAUGGGGCUUUGUCACCCGCUCGGGACGGACUCGUCGGCGCUGGUCUUCCUCCAGGCGACCCUUCGGGGCUCGUCUUCCUUCGGUUGACCUCGGAUCAGGUAGGGUUACCCGCUGAACUUAAGCAUAUCAAUAAGCGGAGGA
This 354-nucleotide unclassified non-coding RNA is filed under the name soil metagenome. RNAcentral describes it as "partial contains 5.8S ribosomal RNA, internal transcribed spacer 2, and large subunit ribosomal RNA". The stretch from base 1 to 120 matches the Rfam family "5.8S ribosomal RNA", at positions 35 to 154 of the family's 154-position model. The record is from RNAcentral.